This is a small nucleolar RNA of Phyllostomus hastatus (greater spear-nosed bat), 136 nucleotides long. Lineage: Eukaryota; Metazoa; Chordata; Mammalia; Chiroptera; Phyllostomidae. The record is from RefSeq and is a predicted model, not a curated record.
CCCCUUUUAAAAGCACUCAUUGGGUCUUUUGCUAAUGACCCAUUGAGCUGUCAAGAAAAGGCUAAGUAAAAACACCACUUUUGGGUGAAGUGGCAGCAUGUUGUGUUAUUUCACUUCAAUCAGUGGUGUGACAAGG